UCAAUGCAUUCCAUUUAUGAAUGAGCAUCGACACUAUAAAUACCCCUUCUUAUAUCAAGAGGAUGACUUCCGGCAAAAGAGAACGAAUUACUCCCGAAAGCUCAGAAGUCUCAAAACACUUUGUGAAGAACUACCAAGGUUCCAGAUAGGCUGUUCUUUCACCAAUCCGAAGGCUUAGAAGUUGUCAAACUCCGAAGAGUCACCAAGUUGCCAAAUAGCCGACAUCUUCACCAACUUAAAGACGAAGAACAAAUCACCACGUGAAACCGCUCGUGGAUCAAACCUGAUCAACAUCAAGCCUCCACGGCCCUUGAUCAACCCUUGUCUUCAAGUCUUCAACAAAUCAAAACCUCUACCAAGUUCUUCAACAAACUCGUGGAGAAUCAACAAGCACCGAACACACGUGCUGAUUCAUCCCCCGUCAAAGUUGAAGAACGUUCACCACGUGACACUGCUCGUGGCCUAAGUCCGAUCAAGAACAAGCCUCUAUGGCACUUGGUCAAUCAACUUCUACAAAUUGUCAACACGGCAAGAAGUCUAAACUAAAACCAUUCGAUUCAAGAUCAAAUGCUCGUCACCCUUGGAUCAAAUCGAUGUCGGAAAUCGAAUCAGAGGAAAUUCAUGUAAAAGAAUACCCACAGAGAUUGUAACUCAUAAAUUCAUCAAUACAAAUAUAUUAUUUUGUACAUGUGUCUUAUGUUAUUUGUUAGAGGAUUUUCCAUGUUUACAAAAUUGGAACGUCCAGUGGGAGAUCUCUGCCUCUCAUCUCCGACAAUAUCGUCAUCCUCAUCACAUGGAAUCGAAGAUGAUGCAAAUCAAAUUGAAAAACAAGACCAACAAGGUAGCUUAGAAACCUUAGCGGUCAUGCUGCUCAUAAUGAGUCAUUUCAACUCACAAUAUUCGACCUUCAUUCCUCAAAGCAGUUUCAGCCGAUCAAUGCUUGGAAUGGGGGCGAACCUCAUGAAGCAAAGACAUUCAACAUCGUCAAGCAACUCGAGGAAACAUUAUCCUUCGCCCACAGCCGAAAUUGAUUCGAAGGUAGGUCCACACUUGGAAUUGCCUCUUGACAAUCAAAUUGAAGCGAUUCUAAAAGAUGACUCUUGCGCCAUGCAAGUCAUGGUGAUAGGAGUGACCAACGUGGAAGACAAGCGGCCCAAAUAGCCCAGUUGACUAAAGCGGUGAAGGAGCUCCAAAAGACCAUUGAAGAGAAGGAUGUAUAAAUUGCAUCGCUCAUGGAGAAGCUAGAAGUUCACCAUGACAAUGACUUAUAGAAUAACCUACAUGGCGAUAAGAAAGACACUCCUGGUGGAUCAUCUCCUGAACAAAAAGGAGAAUCAAAUUCCAUUCUAGCUUCAUUGUUAGCUUAACAACUUCAAGACAUGAUUGCUAACACAAUCAAAGCUCAAUAUGGUGGUUCGUCUCGAGAUACACUAACGUAUUCCAAGCCUUACACCAAGCAACUAGACAAUUUGAGGAUGCCAACCGGUUACCAACCUCCCAAAUUUCAACAAUUUGAUGGCAGAGGUAACCCUAAGCAGCACAUCGCGCAUUUUAUCGAAAGAUGCAACUCCACUGGCACCGAUGGUGAUUAUCUUGUAAAACAAUAUGUUCGCUCACUCUGAGGUACAACGUUCGAAUGGUUUACGGACUUGGAGCCUGAAUCCAUCGACAGCUGGGAGCAAAUGGAAAAAGAGUUUUUAAACCGCUUCUUCAGCACACGUCGCAUGGUGAGUAUGUUAGAGCUCACCAACACCAAACAAUGAAAGGGCGAGCCUGCUGUAGAAUUCAUCAAUCGCUGGCGUGCACUAAGUCUCAACUGCAAAUAUCGACUCUCAGAAUUGUCAGCGGUAGAGAUGUGCAUACAAGGCAUGCAUUGGGACUUGUACAUUCUUCAAGGAAUAAAGCCUCGCACCUUCGAAAACUUGCUACUCGAGCUCAUAACAUGGAACUCAGCUUCGCUAGCCGUGGUCGAAGAGAAUGUGACAUCAUUGAACCAGAGAAUCUAGAGUCUUUGGCAAUCAGCAAAACUACUGCAAGAAUCACAAAACGAGCCAAAUCACAUGACUGAAAGAAAUUUUAGUCGACUCAAGAUCAAGCAAGGAGGCAAACUCUAAAAGACAUGGAAGCUAAAAGUUACCCUUUUCCAGAUUCUGAUGUUGCUGAGAUGUUAGAAAACUUGCUUGAAAAAGAAGUAAUCAAAUUGCUAGACUACAAGCGUCCAGAAGAGAUGUAUCGCGUCAAUGAUCCAAAAUACUACAAGUACCACUAUGUCAUCGGUCAUCUGGUGAAGAAGUGCUUCAUCUUGAAAGACCUCAACAUGAAGCUUGCAUAACAAGAAAAGAUAUGUUUAGAUGUUGAAGAUGAUGUGGCUCAGUCAAAUCAUGCUACCUUCAUCUAUGAACAACUUAAAGCAGUGUCAUCGAUGUCUUUGUUGAGGGCAUGCAACCUGCCGAGCCUCAUGUAGACCACUUCACAGUCAUAACGCUCCUUGUCUGCAUGAGCAUAAACUGCGAAUGACCAAAAAAAAAAAGAACUUUGUCUGCACGAGCUUAAACUGCAAAUGACAAAAAAAAAUGCUCCUUGUUUGCACGAACUUAAACUGCAAAUGGCAAAAAAAAAAAAAUGCUCCUUGCCCGUAUGAGCAUAAAUUGCGUAUGACACCAAUAAAAAAAAACCUUGAACUACGUCAUGUCUUGAUCUCUUUCUCAUAAGAGUAUGUAGACAGCUUGGAAGAUGCUUCUGAGUUCAGUCAUAACAAAACAAGAAAAUGGGCUUGCUCAGGAAGUUGUUCUGAGUAUUGUCUUGUCAAAACAAGGUAAUGAGCUUGCUAUCAAAGUUUAUAUCGAAUUCAUUAUGGCUCGAGAAUUUGGAGGUGUCUCCCAAGUCAAAGAAGGGACAUACAAAACUUGAAAGAGGAAGCCUCUGCAUAAUCUUUGGAAUUCUACUCUUCCUUUCGCGGUCAAAAAUACGCAAAGCCUAAGCACUUUGAAUGAUUCCUCCCACUUUCAGAAAGUGGAAGAAAUCAAGCAUUUAGGUUGUCUGCCUUUUUCAUUUUGUCGUCUGUUGUUGUGCACGUAAAGCCUAAACACGUUGAGAUUAAUCCCAUGCCCAAGACGUGGAAGAAAUCAAGUAGUUAGGUGUUCGCGUUCUUCAAUUGCUGCUAAGGUACUCAAAGCCUAAACACUUUGAGUGAUUAAUCCCACACUCGAGAUAUGGAAGAAAUCAAGCGGUUAGGUGUUCGCAUUCUGCAAUUGCCGCCGAGUCACGCAAAACCUAAACACUUUGAGCGAUUCAUCUCACGUCAGAGGUCGAAUUAAUCAAGUGGUUAGGUGUUCACGUUCUUCAAUUGCCGUCGAGUCACCCAAAGCCUAAACACUUUGAGUGAUUUAUCCCACAUUGGAGGUGGAAAAAAUCAAGCGGUUAGGUGUUUGCGUUCUUCAAUUGCCAUCGAGUCACGCAAAACUAAAACACUUUGAGUGAUUCAUCCCGCAUCGGAGGUGUUCACGUUCUUCUAACGUCGUCAAGACCGCAACUCUUUAAUGCCCACACAAUCAACCCAAGAGAGAGGCUUGCACGUUGACCUAAUUCGUUUAUCUCUAGAAACCUGCAACAGAAGCACGCAAAAAAAAAAGGGACGAGAAAGAGUCAUUGAAUAAGUGUGCAAUUAAAUAUGCUGCUGUCAAAAAGAAGAAGAAACCAAAAUAAAAAACAAAAAAAUAAAAAUAAAAACAAAAAAAAAGAGAAAAAGGAAGAAAAGAUUGGCGUCAUGAGAAGAAUCACUAGUUGAUUAAAGGGGACUCGUUCAUCACGGCUCUUGUUUGCAUUGCCCUUGUACUGUACCGAGGUGAGACACAGAUCAAUGUGCACAUACCUUGUGAGCCGAAAAUCCUGAAACAAAAAAAAAAAAAGGAAAAGGGAAGAAAAGAGAGGCUAGGAGUGCUGCGACGUAAUUGCAUGGAGCCAUAUAGCAUACCUUGAUCAAGCUCCACUCAUGGCUCCGACAUGCAUCUUAUAUUCUUAUGUGACCAAAAAAAAAAGUAAAAGAAGAAGUGUGGACGGCUAGCUAAGGAAGAGGACUGGUGAUUAGGGCAAACCCUAUUGUGCCAUUUUAUAAGGUGAUUAUUCAUUCACUUUCCUAUUUGGUCAAGAGAUUGUCAAGCAUUGCAAGAUUUCGUACCUGUAGAAGACCAAAUGAGUUUGGAAGGUGGUAAUCAAUUAUACCAAUUAAGAGAUUAUCAUCCACGCAACAUUGAUAGGAAAACGAAGUCACAUAUGGAAUCUGUUCAAAUGAAGAUCAAAUCCAAUAGGUAUGCAGAUUGCUCAUGAUUCUCAAGCAUUCAAAAUCAAAUUCCAAAGGCGACAAAAAUGUCAUCAUGGUGAGGAAGGAAUGUAUCGAGGGAUCUUUCUAUAUACAUUCAGUGUUUAAAAAUCUUACCAACCUAAAUCAACAUAUUUGAGAAUCCUUACAAAAUUGAGGAAUCUUUACAAAUACGCGGAAAAAUACAAGAAUUCUUACAAAUUCUAAAAUUCCUACAAUCAUUGAGCCCAAGAAGUUGGCCCAGAAUCGUCCAAAUCGAAAACAUGGACUUCAAGCCGCGUCUCUGGCACAUGACGACGACAUGAGUAUGAGACACCUUGAAGUGGGGGCAUUUAUAGACGCAUAAAUUUAACGAGAAUAAUAAUUAUUAAAUUAUUCAGACGACACAUGUGGCUGACAAAUUGCAUAUGUGGCUCGUGAGUUGGCAAAGUUGAAAAGUUGUCAGAAUUGACACAUGGCAACAUGUGAAUGGUCGGUCAACAACAAAACCAUUAAUCCCGAUUAAAAUCAAAUAUUAAAUGUCAAUCGAUAAUUAGAUAUCAAUCAAAUCAAAUUGAUUAUCGAAAAAGAAGUCAGACAUUUAAUCAAAUUGGUGAAAUACCUUAUCAGUCAAAAUAAAUGGAUCAACUAAGAUAAUUAUGGUAAAUUGAAUAAUUGAAUCAAUCAAUCAAAAGUGAUUGAUUUAAUUAUAUCAUUAAGGAAAUACAACUCAAAUGGUGACUUCAAUGCAUUCCAUUUAUGGAGAAGCAUCGACACUAUAAAUACCCCCUCUUAUAUCAAGAGGAUGACUUCCGGCAAGAGAGAACGAAUUACUCUCGAAAGCUCAGAAGUGUCAAAACACUUUGCGAAGAACUACCAAGGUUCCAAAUAGGCUGUUCUUUCACCAAUCCGAAGGCUUAGAAGUUGUCAAACUCCGAAGAGUCACCAAGUUGUCAAAUAGCUGACAUCUUCACCAACUUAAAGACGAAGAACAAAUCACCACAUGAAACCGCUCGUGGAUCAAACCUGAUCAACAUCAAGCCUCCACGGCCCUUGAUCAACCCUCGUCUUCAAGUCUUCAACAAAUCAAAACCUCUACCAAGUUCUUCAACAAACUCGUGGAGAAUCAACAAGCACCGAGCACACUUGCUGAUUCAUCCCCCGUCAAAGUUGAAGAAUGUUCACCACGUGACAUUGCUCGUGGCCUAAGUCCAAUCAAGAACAAGUCUCUACGGCCCUUGGUCAAUCAACUUCUACAAAUCGUCAACACGAUAAGAAGUCCAAACUAAAACUAUUCGAUUCAAGAUCAAAUGCUCGUCACCCUUGGAUCAAAUCGACUCGGAAAUCGAAUAAGAGGAAAUUCUUGUUAAAAAAUACCCACAAAGAUUGUAACUCAUAAAUUCAUCAAUACAAAUAUAUUUUUUUAUAGAGAAAAUUAGAUAAAAACCCAAAAUACUAGACCUCUUUUAAGAUAAACCUAUACAUAUUUUUCUUUUAUUUUACACCCACUCCACAUAAGCAAACAUACCAUAUAAAGCAAAUGUCUAUAAUUAAUAGUUUUCUUUAUUUUUCGGUUUCUCUAAUUUGCCCUUCAGACAGUAGAAAGCUAAAUUUGGUAUAUUUCUCAAUUUUAGCAUCAAUUUGAAACUCAAAUACUAGCUAAAAUUUAGUUGGAUUUAACUUUGUCAUAAUCAAUUACAUUCUUUAAUUUCUUACCUUGUUAUUACUAACUUGAGUUUAU
This 6038-nucleotide long non-coding RNA is filed under the name Fragaria vesca (wild strawberry). Its description in RNAcentral is "long non-coding RNA (FVES_LNC002130)". The record is from RNAcentral. Lineage: Eukaryota; Viridiplantae; Streptophyta; Magnoliopsida; Rosales; Rosaceae.